GGGCCCGCACAAGCGGUGGAGCAUGUGGUUUAAUUCGAUGAUACGCGAGGAACCUUACCAGGACUUAAAUGCAUAACGAUCGGUUGAGAAAUCAACUUUUCUUCGGACGGUAUGCAAGGUGCUGCAUGGUUGUCGUCAGCUCGUGCCGUGAGGUGUCAGGUUAAGUCCUAUAACGAGCGCAACCCCUAUUCUUAGUUGCCAGCGGAUAAUGCCGGGGACUCUAAGAAAACUGCCAGCGCAAGCUGUGAGGAAGGUGGGGAUGACGUCAAAUCAUCACGGCCCUUACGUCCUGGGCCACACACGUGCUACAAUGGUAGGUACAAAGGGCAGCCACUUGGCGACAAGGAGCUAAUCUCUAAAACCUAUCUCAGUUCGGAUUGGAGUCUGCAACUCGACUCUAUGAAGCUGGAAUCGCUAGUAAUCG
This 424-nucleotide ribosomal RNA is filed under the name uncultured bacterium. RNAcentral describes it as "bacterial SSU rRNA". It matches the Rfam family "Bacterial small subunit ribosomal RNA", at positions 917 to 1344 of the family's 1533-position model. The record is from RNAcentral.